This 28-nucleotide small RNA is filed under the name Bombyx mori (domestic silkworm). RNAcentral describes it as "ovarian small RNA-18973". Lineage: Eukaryota; Metazoa; Arthropoda; Insecta; Lepidoptera; Bombycidae. The record is from RNAcentral.
UAACUCAAGAAGGACAGUAACCAAGAGC